This is a long non-coding RNA of Dreissena polymorpha, 1493 nucleotides long. RefSeq lists it as uncharacterized. The record is from RefSeq and is a predicted model, not a curated record. The transcript is spliced from 2 exons. NCBI's taxonomy places the organism in Eukaryota, Metazoa, Mollusca, Bivalvia, Myida, Dreissenidae.
UCACCCCAUACGCAGCCUGGGUACGUUUUACCUCUAGCAGUUAAUUUAACGCACAAUGAUUUAAUGGUGAAGUUAUGUUCACGAACGGAUGUUCACAUUCGCACGAACGAAUGAACACGUUAGCAUGAGGCGUUGGGAACGUGUUCAUGGCAGAUUAUGGAUGAAAAUAUCAUGACUGGAAAGCUUUUUCACGUAUGACUUAAGAUUGCAUCACCGGCGGUGGUGGGCGCACGUGCAGAAAACACGAAUGCGAGCUUCGGCUUAUAAAUUGGCAAAUUAUUAUUAUUAUUUAAAAUAUAUAUAAUGACAUAUUCCAAGUAUUCCGAAAAGACUAUUUAGGACAGAGGAUAAAAUAUCGUGUUGAUAAAAAGAGUACUACUACUACGGGAUUGUUCCUCAUUCCUUUACAGCAACGCUUUGCAGUAAAGCUAGGCGGAUUAAUUAUCAUAGUUUGAUAUUUGAAACAAAUCCACUAUGACGCGCGCCUUUUCAAGAAGAACGACGUGCAUCAUUCUAGCGAUGUUUCUUUUGUUGACGUUUUUUAGUACGUUGACGUCAUCCCAAUACUUGUGCCGAAGCGUCGGCUGGCUGGGUUGCAUAGACGUAGGAUGCAGUAACGGGAGUCGAGGGUACUGUAGAAACUUUGGGGAUCGCCCGCACAACGACUGUAAAUGCGUUAUGUACUGGUGACGACAGUCAAGUUGAGUCAUGUCACGUUGAGAUGGGCGAUGACGUAUGUAACUCAGGUUGUCAUUAAGUGUUUUCUGGUGAUGCCAUCAUAAAACUCUAAUGGAACAUAUUUAAGAUAAGUCAUUUGAAAGUUCUGAUUAAAUAUGUUCUAGUGAAGCCAUACAGAAGCUUUGCCCAAAAAGUCAGUGAAGUCAAAUGGAAGCUCUAACGUAUCAUGUUCAACUGACGUCGUCCAGCUUUUCAAAUAAAUAACGUUAAGUGACGUCUUAAGAUAUUUCUGACGAAACAUGUUUUUCUGACAGCAGUGGUGGACAUGUUCAAACAUUUUUAGAAUUGGCUGAUAGAUUUUGUCUGACUGCGUAUACAACUUCAAUACGGUGUUCAUGUUGAUGUCUAGUGUUUCCUGUAUUGAAAUUCACUCAGGUAAAUCUAGCCAUUGGAUGCUAAGGGAGUCUCGCUUGCCUGAUACGUUUUAAAUCGAGACUUUUAAAAAAAUAUGUCGUGUUUUUUUUCUCUUAAAAAAGAAUUAACUUGUAACAUGUUAAUGCUAAUAUCAUAUAAUAAUUUAAUGUUUUUAAUGUUGUUUAGUGACCGAAGGGGAGAAGGCUAGAGUACAAGAUGGCAGCUAGGGUUGUAUUUAUCUACUGUUUCAAAUGUUUUCAGAGACCUUGGGUUGGUUAAGGUUUUUGUGUUAUUUAUAUCAUGUUUGUAAAUCGGAUUAUUUAUUAUUUAUUGCCAUUCGAGCAUAAUAUUGUUGUCAUUCGAUCAUCACAAAAAAAACAUUAAAACAUGUUCUAAUGUUU